Molecule: small nucleolar RNA, 168 nt
Filed under: Zea mays
Lineage: Eukaryota; Viridiplantae; Streptophyta; Magnoliopsida; Poales; Poaceae
Description: small nucleolar RNA snoR143
Rfam family: small nucleolar RNA snoR143
Source: Rfam by way of RNAcentral
UUGCACCUGUGAUUAUAUGUUCUGCCUUCAGUUCUUGUUGGUUAGAUAUUGUACUGGUGCAGAAAGGAAAUGCUGCUCCUUGAGGCAGUGGCGGCCAGACAACCGUUGAGACAGAUCCACAGAUAAAUGACUAAUAUCCUGUUUGUCUACUAAAUCUGUCUCACAUUU